Halichondria panicea is the source of this 913-nucleotide long non-coding RNA. RefSeq lists it as uncharacterized. Lineage: Eukaryota; Metazoa; Porifera; Demospongiae; Suberitida; Halichondriidae. The transcript is spliced from 4 exons. The record is from RefSeq and is a predicted model, not a curated record.
GGAAUUUUUUCAUUUUUCGUAUUGUAAAGCAUAUCAUCCUAAAAUUUAACGCACAAUAGUUUCUACGUCACCAUUCUGAGCUGUACUAACAUUUAGGUGAUUCGUACGAAAAUUUAGAUUAAAAAAUUACCCGCUUUUACGGUAGGAAGUUUGUGGUCGGGAUAUCAUUACAUCACAAAACUCUAGCUGGAAUGCAAACAUAGUGUACAUAACGACUGGAGACCCUGCAUGUGCCUUAAAGAUAGGGACUUUUAGUGGCAACUUCAAUUGUAUUCAUACUGUCCACAAAACCUUGGAAUGUAAACAAACAUAGAUUGGCACUCGAUAACGCGGGGCCACGUGGUAUGAUUUGCCCUGUGUAUUGUUAAGAAACAAGAUAGGCACCGUGAAUUCGUGGUCGUGGUGAUCGAGGUCAUCACAAGAUAAGUGUUUUGGUGACGUCACUCCGAAAUUAAUCUAUUUCUCACGAGGGACACGUGUAUGCUUCUCAAGUGCAGCAAGCCAUAUUUGAUAAGGCAGUGUUCUUUACAGACCCAGGCAUUGUUAUCAGAGGUAGGAGGAAGUAUUCUGAAAGAGAUGACGACGACAUCAAAAUACUACGUCAUGUACCUAGCACUAGGUGCUAUGGUCGGGAUCUUGGCAUGGAUGGCCUUGAAGAGAAUAUUGCUACCUGAAACCCAGGGGCCGAUAAAGGAAGAGACUAUUGUAGACCACCGGAGUCAAAACAUGGUGUGAUGAUAUCACAUGCUCUAUAACUCUUAAUGCUGAUAUCAUACGACCCUCUUAACUCUUAACGCUGUAUUAUUAAAUGUUUAUAGCUACGUCACGAUCAUGUUUAAAGGAGAUAUAUAAUUAUGACACGAUUUAGUGUCUCAAUUACCUUAAAACAAAAUCGAGGUAAUGUGCACAAGUG